GUAUUUAACUUGCUGCAUCAAAUCAGGCUUUCAAUUUUUUGCUGAUUAUCAAAUCUAAGCUUUUGUAGAUUGAACAACAUUGAACAAUAACCGCUGUCCCACACACACGAAGUCUGCUAUCCAAGACUACCCAGAUCCUUUGCACUCCCAUCAUUCAUUAAUCACUCAUGAACCAGAACUCAUCUACCAGUACACCAGUUAAACACUGACAGCACAGUUUAAGAAUGAAAAACUGGGGAAGUAAAAAAAAUAACUGACAUGUCAAAACAUGAAUGAUAUACAAGACUAGAAAAGUACAGUGACAGGCUAAGCUGACAGGAACCAGACUGAAUGCGGAAAACAGUGAUGAGAGAAAAUACAGAAGAAACAAAUUCAUUAGUAUCAUGACUUACAUCUCGUAUGCCACGUAUUGUCCUGUUCAAUUCUGAAGCUAAAUACAAAGUUUCAUUUGUUUUUCAUUUACAAACUUAACUACUUUAAAAGUUUCAGUGGAUUAACAAUGACUCACAAUUUAAUGUUAAAAUAUAUUUCAUAAUAUUAAUUUCAGAUUACUUGUUAAAAGGAUUAAAGGGUGGUCAGGUACUGGAAUGGGCUGCUCAGAAAGUUGGUGGCGUCACUGAUCCUGGAGGUGUUCAAGGAACAAGGUGCUGAGGGACAUGGUUUAGUGAGAACCAUUGGUGAUGGGUGAAUGGUUGGACUGGAUGAUCCUGUGGGUCUUUUCCAACCUCUGUGAUUCUAUGAACGCAUAAAGUUUCACUUAGAACAGUAUUUUCCACACAGAAAUACAGUUCCAUUUGAGAGUUUCAGGUUUUCAUGUUCAACACAUACUCUUUCUGACAUUGCCUUGGAAACCACUUUGUAGCUAAGGCUCAUCUUUAAUUUCUGAAGAGCUCAAAUGCCUGCUUGAAGAAAUAGUAGAAAGAAAAACACAUAUGUAGAUGACAAAGCCCAUCAUAUGGCAUAUACGAGCCCCAUGGAUUUUAGCCUUGAAACCCUUAUUGGACUUACCAACUUAAGAAGUUAAGCUAUUUAAUAUAUAAGCAUCUCAAAACUUAUAAAUUAUUUCACAUUUCAAUUAUAAUCAAACUGGAAAAUUAAUACUGUGUUAAUUCAGUUGUAGCUCUAUAUUCUGCAUAAACUACAAGCUAUAGAAAACUGUUUAGUUAUGUAUUUUAAAGAAACAGCAGCACAGAUGAGUUUCAAAUGAUUAGGAAUCAAGCUAUGUAGAAUCCUGCCUGUAAAUUUUACAGAGUGAUUCUAAUCAGAAUAAUGAAUUGAUUCACUGUAUCAAAGUAGAAGAUACAUCUUUGUAACACCCCCACAAAAGUCCUAGCUAAUUACAUUUUUCUUUGAUAGCAAUUAAAAUACAUACAACUCGUAGCAGCUCUAACAUACUUUUCCCAUUGGGAAAUCACUGAAUUAUUUGAGUUGGAAGGGACAUUUAAAGGUCACCUAGUCCAACUCCCCUUCUAUGAACAGUGACAUCUACAGGUAGCACAAAGACUGACUCCAUCUGACACUGAACAGCUCCAGGGACAGAAGUAAGUCUCCUUCUUUCUUACAGUCCCAAUUUUAGACACUGAAAGGCCACUCUCAGGUCUUUGUUGACAGUUUACGGACUGGUCUGGCCUGGUUUCAUGACUAGUGGGGCGGAGGGAUUUUUUUUUUUUUUUUUUUUUUUGCAAAAUCCACGCCUCUAGAAAAGGGAAACAGAGGACCCCUCCACAAAAAAGAAUAAAUUAAAAAAACAGCAGCAAUGAUCUGAGGAGAAACAAACUGAUUUAUUAUAGUGUGUUAUUGUGCAUUCUGAUAAUAUAAUACAAUAUAAUUCAAUAUAAUUGUUAAAAAAAUCAAAUAUAAUUGAGAGAAGGAUUGUCCAAGAGCUAAAGGCCUUACACUAAUACUGAAACCUUGUGUGCAGUUGGGAGCAGCAGCGAGAUGAUCCGAAAGCAAGCACAACAAGACGAGAAGACGACCCAGGUAGCUUUACUCAGUCAUAGACAUCACUGACAACUGGCACUGCCUGAGCCUUGUUGGAAAUCAUAGUAGAAAAGAGUUGCCAAGCACAUCCUUGCCUCCCACUCACAUCUUCAGUCUGACUCUCAUUCUCAUCAUACCCUACUGUGAGGGUGAAGGGAAUAGCAGAACUGCUGAUUAUAAAACCAGUAGCAAGAAAUAUGAGUAUUCUACAGGAGUAUUUUACAACUGGGAUGGGAAUCAGGACUACACCCCAUGGAAAAGACCCAUGAUGGAGCAGUUCUUGAAUUGCAGACCAUGGGAAGACCAUACUGGAACAGCUCCAGAAGGACUGUAUCCCAUGAGAGGGACUUCACCCUGGAGCAGGGGAAGAGAGUAGAGGAAGGAGAAACCAAGACAAACCAUUAUGGACCAGGAGCUGAGUCUGGGAAGAACGUGAGUGGGGAAAAAGAUGGUUUUCGUUUGUUUUUAUUUCUCACUAUUCUACUUCAUUAUUAACUGGCCAUAAAGUAUAGAAUCACAGAAUCAUGGAAUUACUCAGGUUGGAAAGGACCUUAAAGAUCAUCAAGUCCAACCGCAGCCUAACCGUAGUACCCUAACUCUAACAACCUUCUGCUAAAUCGUAUCUCUGAGCACCACAUCCAAAUGGCUCUUAAACACAUCCAGGGACGGUGACUCAACCACCUCCCUGGGGAGCCUAUUCCUGUGUUUAACCACCCUUUCUGUAAAGGAGGGUUUCUUAAUGUCCAAUCUAAGCUUACCCUGGUGCAACUUGAGGCCAUUUCCCCUUGUCUUGUCACCUGUCACCAGUGAGAAGAGACCUACCUCGCUUUCACUGAAAGCACCUUCCAGGUAAUGGAAGAGAGUAAUAAGGUCUCCCCCUCAGCCUCCUCUUCCCCAGACUAAACAGCCCCAGCUCUCUCAGCCUCUCCUCAUAGGGCUGAUUUUCCAUGCCCUUCACUAGCCUCAUUACCCUUCUCUGGACCUGCUCCACUACCUCCAUGUCCUUCUUGUACUGAGGUGCCCAAGAAGGAACACAGUACUCAAGGUGAGGCCUCACCAAUGCCGAGCACAGGGGCAGGAUGACUUUGCUAGUCCUGCUCACCACACCAUUCCUGAUACAAGCCAGGAUGCCAUUGGCUGCCUUGGCCACCUGGGCACACUGCUGGCUCAUAUUCAGCUGACUGUCCAUCAGUACACCAGGGUCCCUUUCCAUCAGGCAGCUUUCCAGCCACAAAUUACUCUUUAACAAAUGAAGUCUGUUUUGCCUCUCAUUUGUUGAGCAACCUCCAUGUCCUUAUCUCAAGUUUUUUUUUGUUUUGUUUGUUUGUUUUUUCCCCCAAUAUUUUCCUCCCCGUUUUGCUGUGCAGAGGGAGAAUGAGAGUGACCUUUUGGGCACCCAGCAGCCAGACAAGGUUAACACACCACAGAAGAGUAAAAUUUUAGAACAAACUUGUGUUACAUUACCAGACUCAGACAUACUUUUUGUGAGGAAAAUUAUCCUGAGCUACACCAAGAAUUUCUUACUAAGAUUCCCACAUCUGGCAAAACUACUCUUCCCACAGACUAUCAAAAUAUAUUCACCAAGAUGCACUAAAAAGUACAGUGAAACAUAUGCUGGGAAAGUGUGAACAGAUUUACUCUUGGCAAAAUAUAUACUAUUACAUUCUAACUGCUUGAGAAAUAACCUCACAUUACUUAUCUUCAUGCUUUAGAACUAUUAAGGAUUUUUCCUGGCAUGAAAAGAUUAAAAGACUUCCUAGAGUGUUUUAGGAAAAUGACCUUCCAAGGUAAUAGCUAUUUCAUAUUGUUUUGUAAUGUUAUCCACUACUUUGACUUGACAAAAGGCUAUUCAUUAUUUUGACACUUUUCUAUGUGGCACUUAGUUCUGAACCUAAGCAACAUAACAAAAAUAUUUCUCUACUUUUAUGUCCAUAUUUAAUAUUUAACCUACAGAAUUUGUCACUUCAUUCUUGAAGUGCUUCAUUUUUUUUUUUUUUAAGAUCUUCGUGAAAAAUCAAAGACUUUGAGUCCCAAAGAAGUCAUAGUCACGCUUCCCCAAGGCCUCUGUCACAGUUCCCCAGAAUAUCCUUCUCUCUAAACUGGAGAGAUCUGGAUUUGAUGAGUGGAACAUUCAAUGGGAAAUGAGCUGAUUAUGAGAUUGUACCCAGAGAUUGGUGGUCAAUGGCUCAGUGUCCACAUUAGUAAUGAGUGGUGUCCCUUAAGAGUUCCCUUAAGAGAACCCCUUAAAGAGUAACUUUAAUUGGUUAUUAAAGAACCAAUGUUCUUUAAUAACUUUGUCAAUGACAUUAACAGUGGGAUCAAGUCAUUCACAAACUUGUUGAAGGUGCACACCAAGCUGUGUGGUAUGGUCAUCAAACCUGAGAAACAGGAUGUCAUUCAGAGAUACUUAGGCUUAAGCAGUGGCCCAGGUGAAUCUCAUGAGGUCCAGCAAACCCAAGUGCAGGUCUUGCAUAUGGGGUCUUGGCAACUAAUACAAGGUGGGGGACAUAAGGAUUGAGCACAGCCCUGCUGUGAAGAACUUGGAGGUACUGGUGGAUGGGAAGCUUGACAUGAGUCAGUCUCAUGACCUUGCAGCCCAGAAAGCCAACCAUACCCUGGGCUGCAUCAAAAGAAGUGUAACUAGCAGGUCAAGGGAGGUGAUCCUGACCCCCUGUUCUGUGCUGUUGAGACCCCACCUAGAGUACUGCACCAAAAUCACCUCCCUCAACCUCUGGUCACACUUCUCUUGACACAACCCAGGAUAUGAUUGGCCUUCUGGGCUGCAAAUGCACAUUGCCCACUCAUGUUGAAUCUUUCAUCAACCGACACCAACUCCUCAGGGCUGCUCUCAAGCCAUUUUACACCCAACCUGUAUCUGUGCUUGGGAUUACCCUGACCCAGGUGUGGGACCCUGCACUUGACCCUGUUGGACUCCAUGAGGUCAGCAUCAGUCCACCUCUCAAGCCUGUCCAGGUCCAUCUAGAUAACAUCUUUCAGUAUCUAAAGGGGAGUUGCAAGAAAGAAGGGGACAGACUCUUUCCUGUCCAUGGAGAGAUUUAGUGUCAGACUGGACCAGAUUGUGAGCAACACAAUCUAGAUGUAGAUAUCCUUAUUCAUCACAAGGGAUUUAAACUAGAAGGCUUUGAAAGGUCAAACAUUCUAUAAUUUCACCAGCCUAUUCCACUAUAGAGGGUUGACAUGACAAGUGCAGACGUGACACCUCACUGAAUGCCAUACAAUCAGAUGCAGCCCACCAAUACAGAUACCUCUGUAGAGCAUUUAUACCAUUAAGCAAGUCCUAACUUAGUGCCAUCUGCAAAUCUAUUGAGAGUGCACUUGAGCCCCACAUCAGCAUCACUGAUAUUAAGCAAUAUUAGUC
Long non-coding RNA from Gallus gallus (chicken), 5359 nucleotides. RefSeq lists it as uncharacterized. The transcript is spliced from 4 exons. NCBI's taxonomy places the organism in Eukaryota, Metazoa, Chordata, Aves, Galliformes, Phasianidae. The record is from RefSeq and is a predicted model, not a curated record.